CUCGCUUGCCUCCUCCGACCUUGUCCCUGCUCCCUUCUCUCUGCUACCUACUCCCUCCUGCACCCCUCUACCUACUCCCUCUUCUCUUGCACCCCUUGCUCCCAUCGCCGUUUCUCCCGCUUGAGUUUGCCACCGUUCCUAUGCUCCUUCCCUCUUAUGUUAUCACCUCUCUUUUGUUCUUUCCCUUCCCCUUUACCUCAGUUGCUUCGACACCCUACAAGGUCAUGGACAGGAACCUGCUCCCCUUUGGUUUAGCCACGGUUCACUCUACUGCCCUCUCCCCUCCAAACCCCAAUGUAGUCACAGGUCUGUUGUCCCCUCACCUCCCCUACGCCCUCCACCUUGUUCGUGUCUGCCAUGUUAGAAUGAUGCAUCUCCGCUAUCCCCCCCUUACCAUUACCUGUCAGCAGACUACUCUUCCAUGCACGUUCACCACUACCUUGCCUACCUUCCUUCUCAGUCUUCCUUUGGCACCUCCUCUUGCCUCACUUUUCUUCCACCUUCGAGUUUCUCAUCCCUUCCUUCUUACGAGUACCCUUCGAGGAUCCUUCACCCCUUCCACCUCAGGAACCUUUACCCCUCCCCACUAUUUCCUCUUCCUCCCUCCCCACUCUCUCCUCUUCCUCCCCUCCCUAUAACUC
Molecule: long non-coding RNA, 641 nt
Filed under: Amborella trichopoda
Lineage: Eukaryota; Viridiplantae; Streptophyta; Magnoliopsida; Amborellales; Amborellaceae
Description: long non-coding RNA (ATRI_LNC003184)
Source: RNAcentral